AGCAGCCGCGGUAAUUCCAGCUCCAAUAGCGUAUAUUAAAGUUGUUGCAGUUAAAAAGCUCGUAGUUGAAUUUCGGGGUCAGCAGGUUGGUCGUGCCAAUGGUAUGAACUGGCCUUGCUGAUUCCUCCCUCUUGAUGAGCCGUAAUGUCAUUAAUUUGGUGUUGCGGGGAAUCAGGACUGUUACUUUGAAAAAAUUAGAGUGUUUAAAGCAGGCAAGCGCUUGAAUACAUUAGCAUGGAAUAAUGAAAUAGGACGUUUGAUCCUAUUUUGUUGGUUUCUAGGAUUGACGUAAUGAUUAAUAGGGAUAGUUGGGGGCAUUAGUAUUCAAUUGUCAGAGGUGAAAUUCUUGGAUUUAUUGAAGACUGACUACUGCGAAAGCAUUUGCCAAGGAUGUUUUCAUUAAUCAAGAACGAAAGUUAGGGGAUCGAAGACGAUCAGAUACCGUCGUAGUCUUAACCAUAAACUAUGCCGACUAGGGAUCGGAUGAUGUUAAUUUUUUAAUGACUCA
This 508-nucleotide ribosomal RNA is filed under the name uncultured Glomus. RNAcentral describes it as "SSU rRNA". It matches the Rfam family "Eukaryotic small subunit ribosomal RNA", at positions 569 to 1078 of the family's 1831-position model. The record is from RNAcentral. Lineage: Eukaryota; Fungi; Glomeromycota; Glomeromycetes; Glomerales; Glomeraceae.